This 163-nucleotide unclassified non-coding RNA is filed under the name uncultured Chaetothyriales. RNAcentral describes it as "sequence contains ITS2". The record is from RNAcentral. Lineage: Eukaryota; Fungi; Ascomycota; Eurotiomycetes; Chaetothyriales.
UCAACUAUCAAGCUUGGCUUGUUGUUGGACUUUGUGGUUGAAAUAUGCUUCAAGUCCGAAAAAUAAUGACGGUGUCGUGUUUGACCCUAAAUGCAACGAGCUUUUUUAUAAGCACGCAUUGAAGUGGUUCACCGACCCAGUCUUAACCAUAUAUUUUUUCUAA